AGGACAGGACAGGAGAGGAGGGGUGUCUAGACAGGACAGGACAGGAGAGGAGAGGAGGGCUGUCUAGUAAGGACAGGACAGGAGAGGAGAGGAGAGCUGUCUAGUAAGGACAGGAGAGGAGAGGAGAGCUGUCUAGUAAGGACAGGAGAGGAGAGGAGAGGAGAGGAGAGCUGUCUAGUAAGGACAGGAGAGGAGAGGAGGGCUGUCUAGUAAGGACAGGAGAGGAGAGGAGGGCUGUCUAGUAAGGACAGGACAGGAGAGGAGGGCUGUCUAGUAAGGACAGGAGAGGAGAGGAGGGCUGUCUAGUAAGGACAGGAGAGGAGAGGAGGGCUGUCUAGUAAGGACAGGAGAGGAGAGGAGGGGUGUCUAGUAAGGACAGGACAGGAGAGGAGGGCUGUCUAGUAAGGACAGGAGAGGAGAGGAGAGGAGAGCUGUCUAGUAAGGACAGGAGAGGAGGGGUGUCUAGUAAGGACAGGAGAGGAGAGGAGGGCUGUCUAGUAAGGACAGGAGAGGAGGGCUGUCUAGUAAGGACAGGAGAGGAGAGGAGGGCUGUCUAGUAAGGACAGGACAGGAGAGGAGGGGUGUCUAGUAAGGACAGGAGAGGAGAGGAGGGGAGGGCUGUCUAGUAAGGACAGGACAGGAGAGGAGAGGAGGGCUGUCUAGUAAGGACAGGACAGGAGAGGAGAGCUGUCUAGUAAGGACAGGAGAGGAGAGGAGGGCUGUCUAGUAAGGACAGGAGAGGAGAGGAGAGGAGAGCUGUCUAGUAAGGACAGGAGAGGAGGGGAGGGCUGUCUAGUAAGGACAGGACAGGAGAGGAGAGGAGAGCUGUCUAGACAGGAGAGGACAGGAGGGGUGUCUAGUAAGGACAGGAGAGGACAGGAGGGCUGUCUAGUAAGGACAGGACAGGAGAGGAGGGCUGUCUCUCUCCCUAUCCCCCCUCACUAUCUAUCUCUCUCCUUCUGCCCCUCUCUCGCUGUCCCUCUCCCCCCUCUCUCUCAGUAACAGUGUGUAUGUUUGGUUGUUCUCUUUAGCUGAGGAUGUGGAGUUGAGGCGGUACUGUGCCUCGCUGUUUGCUGUGUCAUCCUGCGGGGGCAGCGCUGAGCCAGAAUCCUCACCUGGAUCGUGUCUGAGCAUAGAGGUGUUAGAUGAGGAGACAGUUAGAGACAGAGGGUUUGUCACUGAACAGAAGGCAGAAGACAACACAAAGUAAGACAAAGGUUUCCUCUGAAGCCACAGCAACAUCACACACUUCAUUAUAUCAACUUCACUUUGGAGAAGUGGACUGACUGCUUGAUGUGAUUAUUACUACAAAGGAGAAUAUUAUUGAGAAAUGUUGCCUUUUAGAGGAGGGAGAGGGAACACUGUGGAUAGAGGAGGGCUGGGUGUUGAGAGAGGGAACACUGUGGAUAGAGGAGGGCUGGGUGUUGAGAGAGGGAACACUGUGGAUAGAGCAGGGCUGGGUGUUUAGAGAGGGAACACUGUGGAUAGAGGAGGGCUGGGUGUUGAAAGAGGGAACACUGUGGAUAGAGCAGGGCUGGGUGUUUAGAGAGGGAACACUGUGGAUAGAGGAGGGCUGGGUGUUUAGAGAGGGAACACUGUGGAUAGAGGAGGGCUGGGUGUUGAGAGAGGGAACACUGUGGAUAGAGGAGGGUUGGGUGUUGAGAGAGGGAACACUGUGGAUAGAGGAGGGC
This 1691-nucleotide long non-coding RNA is filed under the name Salmo salar (Atlantic salmon). RNAcentral describes it as "lncRNA (ENSSSAG00000094547.1)". The record is from RNAcentral. Lineage: Eukaryota; Metazoa; Chordata; Actinopteri; Salmoniformes; Salmonidae.